This 279-nucleotide ribosomal RNA is filed under the name uncultured archaeon. RNAcentral's name for it is "partial 16S rRNA". It matches the Rfam family "Archaeal small subunit ribosomal RNA", at positions 1047 to 1325 of the family's 1478-position model. The record is from RNAcentral.
GAGACCCACGCCAACAGUUGCCAGCAUGUCCUCCGGGAUGAUGGGGACACUGUUGGGACCGCCUCUGCUAAAGAGGAGGAAGGAAUGGGCAACGGUAGGUCAGCAUGCCCCGAAUUACCCGGGCUACACGCGGGCUACAAUGGGCAGGACAAUGGGUAUCGACACCGAGAGGUGAAGGCAAUCUCCUAAACCCAUCCUUAGUUCGGAUUGUGGGCUGCAACUCGCCCACAUGAAGCUGGAAUCUGUAGUAAUCGUGUCUCAACAUGGCACGGUGAAUAU